RNAcentral lists this ribosomal RNA (253 nucleotides) under uncultured bacterium. RNAcentral's name for it is "partial 16S ribosomal RNA". It matches the Rfam family "Bacterial small subunit ribosomal RNA", at positions 524 to 776 of the family's 1533-position model. The record is from RNAcentral.
UACGAAGGGUGCAAGCGUUACUCGGAAUUACUGGGCGUAAAGCGUGCGUAGGCGGUUUGUUAAGUCUGUUGUGAAAGCCCCGGGCUCAACCUGGGAAUGGCAAUGGAAACUGGCGAGCUAGAGUACGGUAGAGGAGAGUGGAAUUCCCGGUGUAGCAGUGAAAUGCGUAGAGAUCGGGAGGAACAUCAGUUGCGAAGGCGGCUCUCUGGACCAGUACUGACGCUGAGGCGCGAAAGCGUGGGGAGCAAACAGG